AGAUGUUUCUGUCUUGGGGAACUUCCUUUCUCUUCUUGCCACUGCACCAGGUGCUGACUACACUUCCUUACCACAGGGCAAGUGACAUCUGAAGAGGCUGACAGACUUCAGAGCUGGGUAAGGCAACCAGAAUACCCCCUGAACUGCCUCUGCCUGUUCUGUGAUGUCACCUGACCUCUGCUCUGUUUACAUAUAGCUGCUUGUGACAUCAUCUGGGCAUGUAUGGUAUCUGUAUCUAUGUCAAGACCUGGGCUUUGCUCCACUUGGAGUCAGCUGAUUGGCAGGAGGGCAUCUGAAAUUGAGAGGAGGUUUCAGGCCGUUUACCCAGCCCUUUAGUGGGGAUCUGUCCGGGACUCUGCAGUCUGAACCUGCAACUGUAAAAGGCAUGGUCCCUGGAAACAACCCUGGUGCUGUCCAGCAGCGUGUUGAACAGGAAGUUGUGUGUGCGAAUACAAGGUUCCAUAAAAUUCCUGAUGGAGAUCGUGGAGUGAAAAGAAAUUAUCACAGAAUUCCAACAAGGCUUGAAGGCAGAAUUAUCUUUAGAAAACUAAGCCUGUAUUAAUAAAAAAAACAUAAUAUGAAAAUAUAAUUUA
RNAcentral lists this long non-coding RNA (593 nucleotides) under Homo sapiens (human). RNAcentral's name for it is "HSALNT0379982". Lineage: Eukaryota; Metazoa; Chordata; Mammalia; Primates; Hominidae. The record is from RNAcentral.